This 398-nucleotide long non-coding RNA is filed under the name Hordeum vulgare. Its description in RNAcentral is "long non-coding RNA (HVUL_LNC010286)". Lineage: Eukaryota; Viridiplantae; Streptophyta; Magnoliopsida; Poales; Poaceae. The record is from RNAcentral.
AUGUGACGGAGUUCUGUGUUGGUUCCUCUUGUCUGACUUGAUUUCUUCUGGGGAGUUGAGCUCCAGGGGAUUCUUGAGCACAUCGUUAUUGUUUAGAUUUCUUAGUACCUCAGAAUGGAGGAUGUUCGAAAUUGCUUCAAUACUAGUAGUGGCGAGAGGAGUUCGGCAUCCCCAGUACUGGUGGAGAGAGUUAGAAUGUACUGCCAUACUUAGUAUCAUUAUGUUUUCAAGGGUCUAAGAUAGAUGAGUUUCUGAGAUCUCUAGUUAUGUGUUGACGGAUGUGAUACACUCGACAUGUUAGAGUUAUUGCUAGGAGUUGACUGAUGGAUUUUCUCCUUGUAUCUGUGGACCCGAUUGCAUGACCAGAAAUUUUUGGGAGUUCUUAAGUGGGAAUUCAA